Nicotiana tabacum (common tobacco) is the source of this 854-nucleotide non-coding RNA. Lineage: Eukaryota; Viridiplantae; Streptophyta; Magnoliopsida; Solanales; Solanaceae. The record is from RefSeq and is a predicted model, not a curated record.
AUAUAAACAUAAUAUUUUAUUUUAAUGCCCAACCUUAUCUAUUAUCCGACCCGAAAUAAAAUAACCCUUCUCUUAAUACCCUCCCGAAUUUGACUUCACUUGAGAAUUAAGGAUAGCUAUUCUUCUCAAUCAGCUUUUCUUCUCAAUCUCAACAAGGAACUCACAGAGUUGCUGCUAUUUCCGGCGCAAAUCUGGACGACCAAGUUAUGGUUAGUGUUCCCACCAUCUUUCACCAUUCAAUUUCCAAAAUAUGAGCCAGGGAUCUUCGAGCUCAUCAAUGGUUCGAGGAGGAAAUGUUGUUGUGGAGUUGCUGCUAGCCAAUUUACUGCUUAGACUCCAAAUAAUGCCGGUAGACGAUUUAACAAGUGUUCAAUACCUAAGGGACAGAAAUGUAAGUUCUGGGAAUGGGUAGAUGAUGAACUUCAUCUUAGUGUUAUAGCACUGAUCAGUAACUUAAAGAAUGAAAAUGGAGCUCUUAGACGUGAAUGGAAUCUCCUGCUGAUGAUGGUUGUCGAGAUUGAAAGCGUCUUAGUAGGGGAUGUUGCAAAAAUUAAAGAUUUCAAGGAAUUAGUUGAUGUUAAAGGAGACAAAGUUGUUUCUAAGGAAAAAAUGGAUGGAGGUUUAGUGUUUGCGAAGGAAAGUAGUCCGAAAAAAUGAAAUAUCAUUAGUAUGGUAUGGUGUUGCUUCAUUGGGUUCAUGUGUGCUUGGAUGAUGAAAUAUCUACCUUAAGAUCAACCAAAGUUUAGGUGUAUAUGAUAUAUUUAAGUGAUUAUGUAACAUAUGUUCAAACAAGGUUUAUGUAUAAUUGACAUGGUUAAGAUUUAAUUUAUAUUUUUAGUGUUUGUGCUUUUGGA